GACGAACGCUGGCGGCGUGCCUAACACAUGCAAGUCGAGCGGAGAUGAUGUGAGGAAGUUUUCGGAUGGAAUCACAUUAUUUUAGCGGCGGACGGGUGAGUAACGCGUGAGCAACCAACCUUGCACAGGGGAAUAACGGACCGAAAGGUUCACUAAUACCGCAUGAGACCACGGUGUUGCAUGACACAGGGGUCAAAGGAGCAAUCCGGUGCAAGACGGGCUCGCGUCCGAUUAGGUAGUUGGAGGGGUAACGGCCCACCAAGCCUAUGAUCGGUAGCCGACCUGAGAGGGUGAUCGGCCACAUUGGAACUGAGAUACGGUCCAAACUCCUACGGGAGGCAGCAGUGGGGAAUAUUGGGCAAUGGGGGAAACCCUGACCCAGCAACGCCGCGUGAAGGAAGAAGGUUUUCGGAUUGUAAACUUCUGUCCUUGGUGAAGAGAAGAAGACGGUAGCCAAGGAGGAAGCCCGGCUAACUACGUG
RNAcentral lists this ribosomal RNA (481 nucleotides) under uncultured bacterium. RNAcentral describes it as "bacterial SSU rRNA". It matches the Rfam family "Bacterial small subunit ribosomal RNA", at positions 28 to 507 of the family's 1533-position model. The record is from RNAcentral.